UACAUGAUAUCCGCAAUCGUCUCGGCGGU
This 29-nucleotide small RNA is filed under the name Bombyx mori (domestic silkworm). RNAcentral describes it as "ovarian small RNA-20416". Lineage: Eukaryota; Metazoa; Arthropoda; Insecta; Lepidoptera; Bombycidae. The record is from RNAcentral.